AUCUUAAGAGAAGUCGUGGGAACAUGUAAAAGAGCAUCGCUUGGUGAUUGCUGCACGGGAUAUAUGUACAAUUUUAAGGGGAGUAAAUGCGAAGAACGCUCCAUUGGACUUACGGGACCAAAUUGUUCUUUACAAUGCCGCUACCCUAGUUAUGGCCGCCUUUGUCAACAACAAUGUGAUUGCACUGAAAUAUACUGUAAUAAAAUCGUCGGCUGUGUCAGCAUUGAAAAAGGAGAUCCCUCCAAACCGGUACUCAUUGUCUUUG
Long non-coding RNA from Saccostrea cuccullata (small rock oyster), 265 nucleotides. RefSeq lists it as uncharacterized. The transcript is spliced from 4 exons. NCBI's taxonomy places the organism in Eukaryota, Metazoa, Mollusca, Bivalvia, Ostreida, Ostreidae. The record is from RefSeq and is a predicted model, not a curated record.